GAUGAACGCUGGCGGCGUGCCUAAUACAUGCAAGUCGAGCGAACGGACGAGAAGCUUGCUUCUCUGAUGUUAGCGGCGGACGGGUGAGUAACACGUGGAUAACCUACCUAUAAGACUGGGAUAACUUCGGGAAACCGGAGCUAAUACCGGAUAAUAUUUUGAACCGCAUGGUUCAAAAGUGAAAGACGGUCUUGCUGUCACUUAUAGAUGGAUCCGCGCUGCAUUAGCUAGUUGGUAGGGUAACGGCUUACCAAGGCAACGAUGCAUAGCCGACCUGAGAGGGUGAUCGGCCACACUGGAACUGAGACACGGUCCAGACUCCUACGGGAGGCAGCAGUAGGGAAUCUUCCGCAAUGGGCGAAAGCCUGACGGAGCAACGCCGCGUGAGUGAUGAAGGUCUUCGGAUCGUAAAACUCUGUUAUUAGGGAAGAACAUAUGUGUAAGUAACUGUGCACAUCGUGACGGUACCUAAUCAGAAAGCCACGGCUAACUACG
Molecule: ribosomal RNA, 495 nt
Filed under: uncultured bacterium
Lineage: Bacteria
Description: partial 16S ribosomal RNA
Rfam family: Bacterial small subunit ribosomal RNA
Source: RNAcentral